RNAcentral lists this long non-coding RNA (711 nucleotides) under Salmo salar (Atlantic salmon). RNAcentral's name for it is "lncRNA (ENSSSAG00000110835.1)". Lineage: Eukaryota; Metazoa; Chordata; Actinopteri; Salmoniformes; Salmonidae. The record is from RNAcentral.
AUGACUUCCUGAGAGGUGGCCGGAUUCUCAUGACCUGGCGUGUGUGUUGGGUGGGCGGGCCUGAGCGUUAUCUGCGUAACCUAGUUUUGCACCCUGAGAACACGUGCUCCUCAUUUCAGCUCAUCUCAGAGAAGACGGCCUGGUUUCAGUUCUUCACUCCGUUAGCUAUUCUCUCUCGUCAUCUGUAACACUGAGAUAAACAUCCAACGGUUCACUGCUCCCCUUUUCAGCCCGUUGUUCAAUCAAAGUGGAAAAACGACAAAAUAAGGAAUAGGCUGCUGUUUGUCCCCUUCAACUCCAUCCAUACUGAAGCAGUAACUAUUCCAACGAUGCAUGGACACUAUGGGCUGAUCCACACAUACCUGGCUGAUUGUGAGGUGUGAUGGUUCUCAGCUGGUGGGUGGUGGAUGGGACAGACAUACCUGGCUGAUUGUGAGGUGUGAUGGUUCUCAGCUGGUGGGUGGUGGAUGGGACAGACAUACCUGGCUGAUUGUGAGGUGUGAUGGUUCUCAGCUGGUGGGUGGUGGAUGGGACAGACAUACCUGGCUGAUUGUGAGGUGUGAUGGUUCUCAGCUGGUGGGUGGUGGAUGGGACAGACAUACCUGGCUGAUUGUGAGGUGUGAUGGUUCUCAGCUGGUGGGUGGUGGAUGGGACAGACAUACCUGGCUGAUUGUGAGGUGGGAUGAUUCUCAGCUGGUGGAUGGGACAGAC